GCAACUAGUGAUCAUGCUCUUGAAAGAGGUCAUGAAGAUGUCAUUCACUUGUUGAAUGGAAUGGCAGAUUUUGAUUAUCAUUGGCAUUUGGACCCUUCACUACAGGGCUGGAGUCACCAAUAUCCCCCAUACGAUAACCAACCCAAUAUUUCACACAAACCAUUUGAGUUUGAAGAAGAGAAGGGAGUAGGACAUGAAAAGGCAGAAGAUAAAUUUGAAAAUCACUUUAACCAAUUAUUGAAGAUUCA
RNAcentral lists this unclassified non-coding RNA (248 nucleotides) under Hevea brasiliensis (rubber tree). The record is from RNAcentral. Lineage: Eukaryota; Viridiplantae; Streptophyta; Magnoliopsida; Malpighiales; Euphorbiaceae.